UUCAAUUCAGCCUUCUUCUCUGUUAUUCAAUUUGUAGACUAUGUUUUGUGCCUUUGGCUAUGUUUGCCCACAUUGGGGCGUUCCCUCAAGUUUCUGUGUUUUACUGUGGUGGAGGAUGUUUAAGGGUUUAGUGGUGUUGGGUUGUUUCAAAGGCGUGCUUUAGUUGUUGGGAAUUGAUUGCACGGCUCUGGGGAAUGGGCAAAAUAAGUUCAACUUCUUGGACUUGUGUUUGUUUUUUAGGUGCUUUUUGGAUCAUUUUGCAUUUCACACAAUUACAUUAAUAUCAAGUAAAUAGAGCCAUAUUUGAAAAUAGGAAAAGCCAAUGGAUUUCUGGGCUGCUACAACCCAGAAAUCUAUGUCACCUUCUUUUGUUCCUGAAAUUUGAUCUGAUAUGGAUCUGCUGGUGGACUUCUGCAUUGGUUAUGGCUGACCUUGCAGUAUGCUGGCCUAACUUUGUUGUAUAGUUUCUACACGCAUUUGUUAUCAAAAUUCUGUUUGAUAACAAAAUAGUUUGGUGUUUGGCUACUUACAUUUGGAACUCUUCCACAACCCCCACCUUCUUGUUAAGUGAUGAGAACAGCUCAAAAAGAUUUCUGACUUUCAAAUAUAUGUUUAUCCUCUUUCAGUUUUUUGUUUUGCCCAGUACUCUAUGUAUCAAAUGUCUUUUUGCUAAAUGGGAUGCCGAGUUUAAUUUUGAAGCUUGGGUUUUAAAUAUUAUGGCUUCUUAAUGCAUGUAUCUGUUGGUGUACAAAUAUUUUAUUUUUAGUUCUUGUACACACACAACCACAUAUCCCUGAGAAAAGGAUUUAUUGUUAGUAAGGUAGAUAUUAUAGUGAGCUCAUAAGUUGUUGUUGUUGUCUUGUGUGCUUCGGUUUCUUCAGAGUUUUGUGAUGGCUCUUUCCAUCCUUCUUAAUUUGUUUAUUUCACUUAUUUAGACGGCUUCUUAUUUUGGUGUUUUUGUUGCCUGUCUUCUAGUGAACCCCUUGUUCCCUGCCUCCUAAUUUUCUCCACUCUCAGUAAAAAAAAUUUGUUUCUCAUAUACAAAAGAUUAAAAAUUAAAUAAUCAACCAAUCACAUUUUUCAUUAUCUAUAUAUGCUUUGAUUUUACUUUUGGUUUGAUUUGAGCAACUUUUGAGUUUUGUUCUAUUUGACCAAGUUCAGAACAUGAAGAUAAUGGGCCAUUCUGAUUCGAGAGACAUCAUUGUUUUCCUCAAUGCCCUUUUUUUUUCCUAAGAAUCCUUGAUGCCCAAUUUUUUCCCUGCAGUAAUUGCUCUUUAUUCCAGUACUCUGAAAAAAUAUAAAAUAAAUAAAUAAACAGAGUUGACUUCAUAUGGUUGCCAAAUUCCCCUUAGUUCAUUUUGAUCUUGUCAUCGUAAUAGUAGUUGAAAUACUUUUGCAGUGUUAUCAAAGCAGUGUAAAAUAGUACAGUCAUCAGGUAUGUGAAACCUUUGGUGACCUGAGACUUUUUGAUGUGAAGUCAGUUGAAUUAUUUUUAAAAAGUCCACUUACUAAGCACCCUAUAAUUAAGAGUUUGUCCUUCAUUAUGUAAUAAAUGCAAUUCACAAAUAAAUUAUUGGUUAUUGUUUUUUGAUUUUCUUUAUGUCGUGUGUUAAGUGUCAUAGUUUUAGUCAUUCAAAAUCCUUUAGUGCAAGAGUUCUGAGUGUUUCGAUGAUUAUCAAUGGCUCCAAGUGCUACUUUGUAACUUGCAAGUUCUGAAAGAUGAGUUAUUAGUGAAAAAUCCUGAGACCUUCUGCUUGUUUUUGUAACAUGGGUUGACUUGGAGCCAUUCCAAGACAUCUUUGGUGGGUAGCCGGAGUUUUUCUAAUUUCUCAGUGAUUUCUAGAAGUCUAGAACUCUAUGUUGUGAACCUGGCAACUAACUCUCGCGGGCAUUGUUAGUCAGCUGCCAGAUUGAGACAGCUUAUCAUCCAUUAUCUAUUGCAGUUUGUGAAGAUCAAAAAAUGCACUGCAUCAAAAUCAAAAUGGAAGCUGAGUUGUCCAAUUAAUGGAAGAGAUUGGAGUAAACGAUGAUCAAAUUAUAUAAUCAUAGCUGUUGGGGGUCAUUGAUUUAAAACUCUUCUGGGACAGCGGAAUUCAAGGAGGUUGGAGCAAAACAUAAUUCUGCUUCGUAGAGCUGCACUUUAUGCCAAGGAACUUUUCCAGUGUCUUUCAAUAAUGUUUGGAGACAAGUAGCGAAAGUUGAUGACAGAAAGUUGUAGGCAGAAUGGCAGCUCUUAUCUUACCGAAGGGAACCAUUUUUCAGCAGAGGUUUUGCUAUCUUGAAGCAGUAGCUGAUUCUUUGGAGUUAUAUACUGAUCCUAUGGCUUCAAGUGCACAUCAUUGAAAAUUUGAUGUGGCUUGUUUAUGAGCAGGAGCUUGGUACCAAAAGGAAUCCAAAUUUUAUUCUCCAUUCAAACCACUAUUGAAACAUAUGUCAGUUUGCGAAUGUUGCUAGCCCUUAUGCUUGGAUUCUUAGGGUAAUUCAGAUGUUAUCCUUGAACCCUUGAUGGUUAUCCAUGUGAAGUGACUUUCAAAUCGCAGUAUGAUUAUUCACAUCUCUUAUGUUGUCGGCGGUUAAUUUUAGUCCCCAGAUUUUGAUUUCUUAUUUUGUUAACAACAGCUAUAUCACCAUUGUCUAUAAAGCCCUGGCCUUGUUUUGUCAAAUACAGUUCACACAUCACGGACUCACAGUAGAGAAUUAGUGCAGGUCUUUUAUUAGAUGAAUAAUUUUCUUUCUCAGCCAAAUCAUAAUUACACGUACUGGAGUUAAUCCAUGUGCAACUAUGGAUAGUUUUUUCUUUAAAUCGUAUAGCAGUCUUGGAAGCACAUGGCAGAAUUUCAGAAAGAUCACAGAGGAACCAUUUGGCGUUGGAUCAUUAAAGCACUGUCAAUGAAGAAGGAACACCAGUUUAAAAGUCUCUUGCCUCCACUAUUUCAGCUGGAGCAUUUGGGGAAUUUGCUGAAACAAUUUUCCUCCAAGUGGUUCAUUCUAAGGCUGUUUGCAGCAUGUUGUCAAUUUUCUGAGUGGUUACCGGAGACUUCCACCAUGGAUGUUGGCUGCUAGAGUAGUAUAGUGGGAAAGCAAAUCCAUGGACUCAAGGUUUGAAUUCUAUUUGAUACUAAUGUAAGAGUUCAAACGUUUCGGCUCUGAUGAUGCAGUGGCCCUAUAAGGAACCAAAGCUAGAGUGGGGUAUGUGUAGAGUUAGAGAAGACAGUGGAAUUAAAAGGGUUGUGUGUUUUGGUGGAGUUCAGUUAAUAUGGAACGAACCAAUAACCAGAUUGGACUAGGAAAUUGCAAUUUUCAUCAUUGUAAGGAAAAUAUGAAGCCGUUGUAUGGAAGUGGUUUUGCUGACUUGUUAAAUUGUGUUGAUUAUUUGGGGUUGCAAGCUCUUCUUCCAUGAUGAGGAAAUGCACAGUGUGAAAGAAAGAGUCCAAAUUUGAAGGGGUCAGACACCUCCCUUGAUUUACAGGUACGUUUUGCUUAUUUAGUUAAUAGAUAGGAGGGUUCUUUGACCUUCUCAGGUAGAUGUAUCAUCAAACAAUAAAACAAAGGACAGGAGCAGAUCGGUCAUCAGAAAUAUACCAAACAAAAUUAAAUGCAAUAAGAUUACAGUAAGAAGAGGGCAACAAUAGCCCUCUGAAGAAUAUCUAAUAAAAUAGUAAUAAACAAACUAUGUUCUUCCUGUACUACUAGGAUUAGAAGUUAUAACCUAUCUCUACACCAAAUAAUUUGAAUUUUGUGCAAGGUUCCGUCCUCGUUGUCUGAUCUAUUGGCUGGUUAGACAAGUUGUUGUUGUUGUUGGUUAUAUUCAUCAUCACAUUACUUUGCUUUCGCAUUAGCUUUUUGUUAGUAACAGAAAGCAGCUUCUGCUUCUCCUUUGAUUCUUGGCAUAAUGCACUGUACUUUCUCUUGUUUCCAUUCCAUUCAGACAAUGGCAGUGGUGAUUUGUUGUUCUUUCGCAGUCUACAAAUCACAUAAUCUGAUUUAGCAUCUAGAAGACUAUACUCAUCCAAAUACCAAUGACCGUGGUGUUUGGAACAUUUGCUCUCGUAUCGCAGUUUCCUCCUCCGCCCAAUAUGUUUUUGCCAUUCCUCAUCUUUAAUCAAUUUGGAGGCAUCUGUUUCGCUCCAAGUCCCACUUGAUCCAAUCUUGCGGAGAAUGCGUGAGCCGUUGAGGCUUGCCUUCUUGAGCUUUGUGAAAAAGAACAAGUUUUGGUUGCACAACUCAUGUCCCCUAUACAUGUCCCAAAUCUCCCAAGGUUCUGUGGUUCCAAAAAGAUCAAACUCGCACACAAUGUUUUUGUAACUGUAUAAUGAUGCUUCCUCUGUCAGCUUGUUGUAGAGGAAGUAACUGAUCAACUCUUGAUCCGUGGGGUGGAACCUGAACCCUACAGGUAUGUAACUCAUUGGCAAUGCACUAGAUUCUUGGCACAAUAAUAUCUCCUUCCUCUUCUUUCGUGUCUUGAUGUUCUGUCGGAGCCGGCAAAGUACAUAAUUUGCAGAGUUAGUAAGAAGAAGACUAUACUCUUCCAAAUACCAAGAACCAUUGUGGUCAGACCCUUUAUUCUCAUAUCGAAAUUUCCUUUUUUGUCCAAUAGGUUUCUGCUUAUGCUUUGGAUCAAAAAUAAGUUUGCCAGGUUCUCCUUCACUCCAAGUACCACCAGAUCCAACCUUGCGAUGAAUGCGUAAACCAUCGGGGUUUACCGUCUUGUGCUGUGUAAAAAAGAACAUAUCCUGGUCAUACAGUUCCGAUCCCCCAUACGUUUCCCAAAUCUGCCAUGGUUCUACAUCACCAUAAAGGUCAAGCUCGGGCAUAAUUUUGUUGUAAUUGUAUGUAGCCAUUGAUGGCACUUCUGCCAUUGUGCCGACAUUGUUCUUGUUGUAGAGGAAAUAACUGAUCAGUUCUUCAUCAGUUGGGUGGAACCUGAAACCCACCAGAACAGAAGGCAUUAACGUAUUAUUGCCUGUAGAGCAACAAACCGUUUU
Molecule: long non-coding RNA, 4985 nt
Organism: Rosa chinensis
Lineage: Eukaryota; Viridiplantae; Streptophyta; Magnoliopsida; Rosales; Rosaceae
Exons: 4
Source: RefSeq, a predicted model, not a curated record